CCUACGGGAGGCAGCAGUGAGGAAUAUUGGUCAAUGGGCGUAAGCCUGAACCAGCCAAGUCGCGUGAGGGAUGAAGGUUCUAUGGAUCGUAAACCUCUUUUAUAAGGGAAUAAAGUGCGGGACGUGUCCCGUUUUGUAUGUACCUUAUGAAUAAGGAUCGGCUAACGUCGUGCCAGCAGCCGCGGUAAUACGGAGGAUCCGCGCGUUAUCCGGAUUUAUUGGGUUUAAAGGGUGCGUAGGCGGCCUUUUAAGUCAGCGGUGAAAGUCUGUGGCUCAACCAUAGAAUUGCCGUUGAAACUGGUAGGCUUGAGUAUGUUUGAGGCAGGCGGAAUGCGUGGUGUAGCGGUGAAAUGCUUAGAUAUCACGCAGAACGCCGAUGGCGAAGGCAGCCGGCCAAGCCAUGACUGACGCUGAGGCACGAAAGCGUGGGGAUCAAACAGGAUUAGAUACCCGGGUAGUC
RNAcentral lists this ribosomal RNA (460 nucleotides) under uncultured bacterium. Its description in RNAcentral is "partial 16S ribosomal RNA". It matches the Rfam family "Bacterial small subunit ribosomal RNA", at positions 338 to 795 of the family's 1533-position model. The record is from RNAcentral.